AUGUCAAAUUUCAACAAAAAGGACAUUUGGAUAAUGAGCUGUAAGCUCUUCAGAGAUGAAGUCUCUUGCAGUGAGAGCAAGACAGAAACCCUGUUGGCUCGGGGGGAGACUCAAAAGGCAGCUCCUCCCAGAGUCAUGCAGUGCAGGAUUCCUUCCAGACCAAAGUCACAAGGGUUACAUAGUCUACAUAUAGAUGCAUUGUUCCAAUCAUCCCAUCUCACCAAGACAUCUCAAAACACCCAAGAUCUGAUACUUUCUGUGGAGGAACUGUUUUCCCAUACAGACUGUACAGGAGAUCAGAGAUACAUGACUAUGCAAUUUAAAGUACUGCAAGCAUCUUUCCAGUGCAUCACAGAAAUGAGAUUUCUGCUCAACUCCUUGGCAGGAUCCAACCAGCAUAUAGUAUAGAUGAAAUAGUACUGGCUCAGCCAAGGAUGUGGAGACUAAUUUCAAGGCAUUAGUAAUUCCAGAAAACAGGAACCUUUUCAUCAACUCACUUAAGGCAAGCACACUCAGCAUACUACAGUCAUACAAUGGCAUUUUAUCUAAGGGUGCCAAGAGAGAAAUUUGGGGAAUUGCAGCAUUUCAGAGAAAUCAGGAAUGUUUCUAAGAUAUUGCAAUCAGAAUGCACUGUUUUCUUAGAUGUUUUCAUUCCACAAAGAACCUGAAGCAGGUCCACUGCUGCUUGUGCAUGCAGAGCACCACAGCAGAGGCAAAAAGCAUUUCAAAGGUGCUGUCUUGUCAGAGGGCACAUCCCACAAAUGAUUUGUAAGAUAUAUCUACAUUGGCCUUUCAGUUCAGAUCAGGAAAGUGCUUUUGAGCUGGCUCUCCCGACCAGUUUCACUUGCUGCUCUCUGUGUCACAUUUGAGAGUGGUUCUGGGUCACACCAGCAAGGGCACUUGGGCUGUUAGUGGGGUCCACUGCACAGCACCCAGCACAAGAGCAGCAAAAGCCUUACACUCUGCACAUCCAGAUGUGUGAGCUCCUCUGCACCAGCUGUUUUGCUCUGCUCCACUCCUGCUACAUUGCAACACUUGCAUACAGGGAUAAACCCAGACAACUUUGGUCUGUCUGGGAUGGUAAUCAGUGAUUUCCUUCACAAAUUCUGAGACUAAAUUGCAGUGGUUAUUUUGGGCAACAAUUUGCUGCAUGGAUGUACUUUAUUUACCACAGAAUUUCUCCAGCAUGUUCCAUGUAUCUAAAACCAUAUGUACACAUAUGUAACCCGUAUCCACGGGUUAGAAAAACUGUGAUUUCCUAAAGAAAUGAGACACCAAAAACCUAUCAAAUUUUAUUGGAGACUGUGCAACUAACUGCUGAGGAGAAAAUCAUCAGUUUGUCAUGUGGUGGGUUCACUAAAAUGCCUUGUAUUGACAUCUUUUCUGUAAAAGAAAAAUAUAUGCUACAAAAAACACAACUAGCAAACCCAUUGCUUGCUUCCUGAUGAUUUGUUUGUCCUACAGAGCUUGCCCUUAACAGCUGUAAUUGAAUUAGACCUUUUUGUUACAAAACGUGAAGGCAAAUGCAAGCUUGGUUCCACGAGUAUCUCCUAUUAGUAUGCACGCUUUAAGAGGCACGGCUUUGCUAAACCAGUAUCUGUGACUACAGAGGACCCACUAGGCAUUUUCAGUUGUAUCUCCAUGUAAACAUGUGUCAUUUCAGAGUUGUACUUCACUCUAUUCAUAGAGAAAAUCUUCUAGGUAUAAAAUGGAUACUUUGAAUUUUCAAUUAAGAUUUUGAUGUAGAGAGUCUUAAAAGAUAGUGUACAAGAUUAUUGCCUGCAUUUUCUUCCUGAAGAAAAAUAUUACAAAAAUAAAGCUAAUUUUCAAAUUUGUUUUAGAGUUAAA
Molecule: long non-coding RNA, 1848 nt
Organism: Cyanistes caeruleus (blue tit)
Lineage: Eukaryota; Metazoa; Chordata; Aves; Passeriformes; Paridae
Source: Ensembl